This 450-nucleotide ribosomal RNA is filed under the name uncultured bacterium. RNAcentral describes it as "bacterial SSU rRNA". It matches the Rfam family "Bacterial small subunit ribosomal RNA", at positions 329 to 794 of the family's 1533-position model. The record is from RNAcentral.
UGCCAGACUCCUACGGGAGGCAGCAGUGGGGGAUAUUGCACAAUGGGGGAAACCCUGAUGCAGCGACGCCGCGUGGGCGAAGAAGUAUUUCGGUAUGUAAAGCCCUAUCAGCAGGGAAGAAGAAAUGACGGUACCUGAGUAAGAAGCACCGGCUAAAUACGUGCCAGCAGCCGCGGUAAUACGUAUGGUGCAAGCGUUAUCCGGAUUUACUGGGUGUAAAGGGAGCGUAGACGGCAGUGCAAGUCUGAAGUGAAAGGCGGGGGCCCAACCCCCGAACUGCUUUGGAAACUGUGCUGCUGGAGUGCAGGAGAGGCAAGUGGAAUUCCUAGUGUAGCGGUGAAAUGUGUAGAUAUCAGGAGGAACACCGGUGGCGAAGGCGGCCUGCUGGACUGCAACUGACGUUGAGGCCCGAAAGCGUGGGGAGCAAACAGGAUUAGAUACCCCUGUAGA